GUCUGGGCGACGAGUCCCAAAUAGGACGAAAUGCGCAUCCUGGAU
This 45-nucleotide non-coding RNA is filed under the name Trichobilharzia regenti. Lineage: Eukaryota; Metazoa; Platyhelminthes; Trematoda; Strigeidida; Schistosomatidae. The record is from RNAcentral.